GCUGGGCAUGGUGGCUCAUGCCUGUAAUCCCAGCACUUUGGGAGGCUGAGGCAGGAGGAUCACUUGAGCCCAGGAGUUUGAGACCAGCCUGGGCAACAUGGCGAGACCCUGUCUCUA
Molecule: non-coding RNA, 117 nt
Filed under: Nomascus leucogenys (northern white-cheeked gibbon)
Lineage: Eukaryota; Metazoa; Chordata; Mammalia; Primates; Hylobatidae
Source: Rfam by way of RNAcentral